AACGCUAGCUACAGGCUUAACACAUGCAAGUCGAGGGGAAACGACAUCGAAAGCUUGCUUUUGAUGGGCGUCGACCGGCGCACGGGUGAGUAACGCGUAUCCAACCUGCCCACCACUUGGGGAUAACCUUGCGAAAGUAAGACUAAUACCCGAUGAUAUCUCUAGACGACAUCUGAAAGGGAUUAAAGAUUCAUCGGUAGAGGAUGGGGAUGCGUCUGAUUAGGUAGUAGGCGGGGUAACGGCCCACCUAGCCGACGAUCAGUAGGGGUUCUGAGAGGAAGGUCCCCCACAUUGGAACUGAGACACGGUCCAAACUCCUACGGGAGGCAGCAGUGAGGAAUAUUGGUCAAUGGACGAGAGUCUGAACCAGCCAAGUAGCGUGCAGGAUGACGGCCCUAUGGGUUGUAAACUGCUUUUAUGUGGGAAUAAUGAGACUACGUGUAGUUUUUUGCAUGUACCACAUGAAUAAGGACCGGCUAAUUCCGUGCCAGCAGCCGCGGUAAUACGGAAGGUCCGGGCGUUAUCCGGAUUUAUUGGGUUUAAAGGGAGCGCAGGCCGUGGGCUAAGCGUGCCGUGAAAUUCUGUCGCUCAACGGCAGACGUGCGGCGCGAACUGGUCCACUUGAGUACGCGGGACGUUGGCGGAAUUCGUGGUGUAGCGGUGAAAUGCUUAGAUAUCACGAAGAACUCCGAUUG
This 695-nucleotide ribosomal RNA is filed under the name uncultured bacterium. RNAcentral's name for it is "bacterial SSU rRNA". It matches the Rfam family "Bacterial small subunit ribosomal RNA", at positions 32 to 715 of the family's 1533-position model. The record is from RNAcentral. RNAcentral also lists the same sequence under 1 other name.